GGCAGAGGGAAGAAAGGGAGGCUCUUCGGAGCUUUCGCUGAAGGAGGGGCUUGCGUCUGAUUAGCUAGUUGGUGAGGUAACGGCCCACCAAGGCGACGAUCAGUAGCCGGUCUGAGAGGAUGAACGGCCACAUUGGGACUGAGACACGGCCCAGACUCCUACGGGAGGCAGCAGUGGGGAAUCUUCCGCAAUGGACGAAAGUCUGACGGAGCAACGCCGCGUGAACGAUGACGGCCUUCGGGUUGUAAAAGUUCUGUUAUACGGGACGAAUGGCGUAGCGGUCAAUACCCGUUACGAGUGACGGUACCGUAAGAGAAAGCCACGGCUAACUACGUG
Molecule: ribosomal RNA, 336 nt
Filed under: uncultured bacterium
Lineage: Bacteria
Description: bacterial SSU rRNA
Rfam family: Bacterial small subunit ribosomal RNA
Source: RNAcentral